CCUACGGGAGGCAGCAGUAAGGAAUAUUGGGCAAUGCUCGCAAGAGUGAUCCAGCCAUGCCGCGUGCAGGAAGAAUGCCCUAUGGGUAGUAAACUGCUUUUGAACUAGAGAAAAUCCCAGUACGUGUACUGGGCUGAUAGUAUAGUUAGAAUAAGCAUCGGCUAACUUCGUGCCAGCAGCCGCGGUAAGACGAAGGAUGCAAGCGUUAUCCGGAUUCAUUGGGUUUAAAGGGAGCGUAGGUGGACUGAUAAGUCAGUGGUGAAAUCUCCGAGCUUAACUCGGAAAUUGCCAUUGAUACUGUUGGUCUUGAGUACAGUUGCUGUGGGCGGAAUAUGACAUGUAGUGGUGAAAUACAUAGAGAUGUCAUAGAACACCGAUUGCGAAGGCAGCUCACAAAGCUGUAACUGACACUGAGGCUCGAAAGUGCGGGGAUCAAACAGGAUUAGAUACCCUGGUAGUCCGCACCGUAAACGAUGAUUACUCGCUGCUAGGGGGCAACCUUUAGUGGCUUAGCGAAGCGAUAAGUAAUCCACCUGGGGAGUACGCCGGCAACGGUGAAACGUCAAAGGAAUUGACGGCUUGGAGACGNGCGAGACGACACGAGGGAGGAGG
Molecule: ribosomal RNA, 612 nt
Filed under: uncultured bacterium
Lineage: Bacteria
Description: bacterial SSU rRNA
Rfam family: Bacterial small subunit ribosomal RNA
Source: RNAcentral